GACGGGGCCCGCACAAGCAGCGGAGCGUGUGGUUUAAUUCGAUGCUACACGAAGAACCUUACCAGGGUUUGACAUGCUAGUGGUAGAGAAGCGAAAGCCGAUCGACCUUCGGGAGCUAGCACAGGUGCUGCAUGGCUGUCGUCAGCUCGUGUCGUGAGAUGUUCGGUUAAGUCCGCUAACGAGCGCAACCCUCGCUGUGUGUUACAAGUGUCACACGGUACUGCCGGUCUUAAGCCGGAGGAAGGUGGGGAUGACGUCAAGUCAGCAUGGCCUUUAUGUCCUGGGCUACACACACGCUACAAUGGCCAACACAAUAGGUUGCUAAGCCGCGAGGUGGAGCCAAUCCUCAAAGUUGGUCUCAGUUCAGAUUGCAGGCUGCAACCCGCCUGCAUGAAGAUGGAGUUGCUAGUAACCGCAGGUCAGCUAUACUGCGGUGAAUACGUUCCCGGGGCUU
RNAcentral lists this ribosomal RNA (454 nucleotides) under uncultured Leptolinea sp. RNAcentral describes it as "bacterial SSU rRNA". It matches the Rfam family "Bacterial small subunit ribosomal RNA", at positions 912 to 1382 of the family's 1533-position model. The record is from RNAcentral. Lineage: Bacteria; Bacillati; Chloroflexota; Anaerolineae; Anaerolineales; Anaerolineaceae.